GACGUCACGGGAUACACUCAACCCUACCAAUCACAAAGCGUCUCCGAUAUGGAUAAAAGUUUUUAAGUUUCAAACUGUUUUGAUUUUAUUUUUAUUCGGCGCUUGAUUCGUUGUGACGUCGACUCCGACACUGUAGCAGGAAGAGAAGGGGCAGGGAGUCGAAGAUUGUGACCGAGAUGUCUGUGUUUACACAACGAGAUCGAAUUUUGAGUAAAUUUAAAAGAUACUCAGUAUCAAAUUUUAAGAAGAAGGAAAAAAUUAAUAGGUUCACCAGACAUAAAAGUUAGGUGCGUUUUAAACAGAAACGUGUAAAUUCGGGAGAGAGAGAGUCUGGAAACGUAACUGCCUAUGCUGAUUCUCUUGUUUUUCUAUCCGAAUGUAACUCACGCUGGUUUUGGUUUAAGGGAUUGUUCUGAGAAACGUUUUGGAUAUGCAUCCUAACCUUUGGUUCCAGUUAUGAAUUAGACCUAACAAUUAAAUAGUAUCCUUGCAUUCAAUAUUUAAUCAUGUAACCUAGUGAAGGGGCGCUAUAAGCGUUAAGUGGCUUUUUUUUCACUGCAGUACAAAGAGAAGCUAGCAAGCCGUGAAUUGGAGACUUUCAAACACAGUGUCAUAGCUUGGGCUUUUGAAUUUUUAAGCUCAUCUUCAUUAUUAUGCGGCAGAAUCCGUUUUAAUAUGAAAUAAUUUGAAGCAGUUUGUUUAUGACAGAAACAAAAUGUUGCAAAUAUUUUAGGUUACCAAUUAUGAAUAUAAUGUCUUUAUAUUCAGACCAUUUGCUUUACAAAACUUUCACUAAUUUACGAGACAGAAUUUGAGUUUUAAAAGCCAGCCAAUUUAUCUGUACUGUAAACGUAAUUAGUAUCAGGAUAUAAAUUAAAUGUAUUUUCAUACAAAUUAUGUAGAUUUUUUUUUAAAUAACGGUUUAUAAAUUCCUUCAAAGCAUAAUAUAUAUUCAUAAAAGUUUUGUCACUAUUAUAUUUUGCGAAGUCCCCCGUUCUUCUCUGAUGCACUUUUUUUGAAGAAUUUACAUCAAAAGUGUAAUCAUCAGAGCCGAAACAAAGCUGAGGCAAAUGGGGCCCAUGUCUCUAGGUGAACAGAGAGUACGAAAAUUAAAUUAGCUCUGAAAUAUAAUAAAUAACUUUUGAAAAUGAAGUUAAGAUUGUUAACUUUCCAGCUAGUUAACUUAAUUUAAAGAACACAUAGAGAAGCACAGCUUUAAAAUAUCAAAAUAAAUUAAAAUGCGAAUUAUCUUUUGGAGACCGCGUGUCGUUAUCGAUGGGCGAGUGUUAAUAUCAACCAAAGAAUGAGUGUUAAGAUCGUUUAACAUUGGUAGUUCGACCUGGGCUCAAAUCUGGCGAACGAUCGGACUGCAUGGCCAAAUUCAUAGUUCUCUCCAGUGUUUAAGGUAAAUGUGAGCCAUUUUCCCUUGAAAUGUCCUUCACUAAGGCAUCCCUUCCUUAAUCAGACAGCCCUACAGCCCUUGUGUGCCUUACUAUAAUCCAAAUAAUCCGAAUCUGAAUCAUAUGCUCUUCAGGAUGUCAUAGAAAAUAUAAUGUCUUUAUAUUCAGACCAUUUGCUUUACAGAAGUUAAUUAAUUUUCUGUAUUUUUCUUGGUCCAAUAACUUUUCUUUAAACAGUUAACAUUAGAAGAAUUUUCAGAAUUUCAAUUUUUUAUUCUUGUAAAAUCAUAUACAUUUUUUGCAUAUAUUUUUAAAUAACUGCUUAAUCCUCUUGCUUACUGCAUAUGUGUUCAUUAUGUAGCUGCUUUGUGACACAUCUAUGAAAAUCAUAUAAAGCUAAUUUUAA
This is a long non-coding RNA of Stegodyphus dumicola, 1806 nucleotides long. The record is from RefSeq and is a predicted model, not a curated record. Lineage: Eukaryota; Metazoa; Arthropoda; Arachnida; Araneae; Eresidae.